CGGGUGAGUAACACGUAUCCAACCUGCCGAUGACUCGGGGAUAGCCUUUCGAAAGAAAGAUUAAUACCCGAUGGCAUAGUUCUUCCGCAUGGUAGAACUAUUAAAGGAUUUCGGUCAUCGAUGGGGAUGCGUUCCAUUAGGUUGUUGGCGGGGUAACGGCCCACCAAGCCUUCGAUGGAUAGGGGUUCUGAGAGGAAGGUCCCCCACAUUGGAACUGAGACACGGUCCAAACUCCUACGGGAGGCAGCAGUGAGGAAUAUUGGUCAAUGGACGAGAGUCUGAACCAGCCAAGUAGCGUGAAGGAUGACUGCCCUAUGGGUUGUAAACUUCUUUUAUACGGGAAUAAAGUGAGGCACGUGUGCCUUUUUGUAUGUACCGUAUGAAUAAGGAUCGGCUAACUCCGUGCCAGCAGCCGCGGUAAUACGGAGGAUCCGAGCGUUAUCCGGAUUUAUCGGGUUUAAAGGGAGCGUAGGCGGACGCUUAAGUCAGUUGUGAAAGUUUGCGGCUCAACCGUAAAAUUGCAGUUGAUACUGGGUGUCUUGAGUACAGUAGAGGCAGGCGGAAUUCGUGGUGUAGCGGUGAAAUGCUUAGAUAUCACGAAGAACUCCGAUUGCGAAGGCAGCUUGCUGGACUGUAACUGACGCUGAUGCUCGAAAGUGUGGGUAUCAAACAGGAUUAGAUACCCUGGUAGUCCACACAGUAAACGAUGAAUACUCGCUGUUCGCGAUAUAC
RNAcentral lists this ribosomal RNA (732 nucleotides) under uncultured bacterium. RNAcentral describes it as "bacterial SSU rRNA". It matches the Rfam family "Bacterial small subunit ribosomal RNA", at positions 103 to 834 of the family's 1533-position model. The record is from RNAcentral.